UCCAAAGGCUGCUGCAUACCCUUGGUGUU
RNAcentral lists this non-coding RNA (29 nucleotides) under Mus musculus (house mouse). Lineage: Eukaryota; Metazoa; Chordata; Mammalia; Rodentia; Muridae. The record is from RNAcentral.